RNAcentral lists this ribosomal RNA (468 nucleotides) under uncultured bacterium. RNAcentral describes it as "partial 16S ribosomal RNA". It matches the Rfam family "Bacterial small subunit ribosomal RNA", at positions 28 to 507 of the family's 1533-position model. The record is from RNAcentral.
GGCGAACGCUGGCGGCGUGCUUAACACAUGCAAGUCGAACGGAAAGGCCCUGCUUUUGUGGGGUGCUCGAGUGGCGAACAGGUGAGUAACACGUGAGUAACCUGCCCUUGACUUUGGGAUAACUUCAGGAAACUGGGGCUAAUACCGGAUAGGAGCUCCUGCUGCAUGGUGGGGGUUGGAAAGUUUCGGCGGUUGGGGAUGGACUCGCGGCUUAUCAGCUUGUUGGUGGGGUAGUGGCUUACCAAGGCUUUGACGGGUAGCCGGCCUGAGAGGGUGACCGGCCACAUUGGGACUGAGAUACGGCCCAGACUCCUACGGGAGGCAGCAGUGGGGAAUAUUGCACAAUGGGCGGAAGCCUGAUGCAGCAACGCCGCGUGCGGGAUGACGGCCUUCGGGUUGUAAACCGCUUUCGCCUGUGACGAAGCGUGAGUGACGGUAAUGGGUAAAGAAGCACCGGCUAACUACGUG